GACGAACGCUGGCGGCGUGCUUAACACAUGCAAGUCGAACGGAAAGGCCCUGCUUUUGUGGGGUGCUCGAGUGGCGAACGGGUGAGUAACACGUGAGUAACCUGCCCUUGACUUUGGGAUAACUUCAGGAAACUGGGGCUAAUACCGGAUAGGAGCUCCUGCUGCAUGGUGGGGGUUGGAAAGUUUCGGCGGUUGGGGAUGGACUCGCGGCUUAUCAGCUUGUUGGUGGGGUAGCGGCUUACCAAGGCUUUGACGGGUAGCCGGCCUGAGAGGGUGACCGGCCACAUUGGGCCUGAGAUACGGCCCAGACUCCUACGGGAGGCAGCAGUGGGGAAUAUUGCACAAUGGGCGGAAGCCUGAUGCAGCAACGCCGCGUUCGGGAUGACGGCCUUCGGGUUGUAAACCGCUUUCGCCUGUGGCGAAGCGUGAGUGACGGUAAUGGGUAAAGAAGCACCGGCUAACUACGUG
This 468-nucleotide ribosomal RNA is filed under the name uncultured bacterium. RNAcentral's name for it is "partial 16S ribosomal RNA". It matches the Rfam family "Bacterial small subunit ribosomal RNA", at positions 28 to 507 of the family's 1533-position model. The record is from RNAcentral.